GACUCGGCGCGGCUGCCUCCUCGGGGCAGAGUCCCGGGCCGGGCGGCGGCGCGCGGACAAAGCGCUCUCUCUGCCUCCCUCUCUCUCCCUCUCAAGGCGGUGGCGGGAGGAGGAGCAGCGGCGGGCGGCGGCAGCGCACCCCGCGUGUGUCUGUGUGAGAGUUUGUACGGGCGUGUGCGCAGCCGAGAGGGAGCGAGCGAGCGCCCCCUCCCCGCCCCGCGCCGCUGCGCCCCUCGCCUCGCGCCCACCGCGCUCGGCAGUGGCUGCUCGGGCUCCGGCCCCGCGCCAGGCGGGCGGAAGCGGGUCGCGGCCCCGGGCUGGGGCUCCGGGCGCCGGAACCCCGGGCGGGCGCGGCGCCGAGGCCGGGCGAGCGGCGGGGCGGGGAAGGCGCGCCCCGGGCGCGGGUGGGAGCGCGCGAGGGGGCGACGGGGAGCCGCGGGCGUGGGAGGGAGAGGGGCUGCGAGUGAGCGCGGAGAGGGGUGUGCGCAAGGUGGACCGGAUGUGAGUGCGCUGCUGCCAGGGCAAGCGGGAAGGUGUGUCCCGGAGGUGAGAGGCGAGGGCAGGCUGGGAGACAACAACUUUCGCAGCGACUUGGCCGGGGCUGGCGCCCUGCGCGUUCCCGGGCCGUGCGCUCGCUCUGAGACCCGCUCCCCGCCACGCUCUCUGAGGUGACCGAGCGGCGCGUGUGGUCGAAGGAUCGCGCGCGGGAGUCGGGACGCCUAGGACCGGGGUUGGCCGGGCCCUCGCGGACCGUGCUCGCGGGGAAGUGGUUCCCGGUCCCGGGCCUCAGUUUCCCGACCGGGGAGGGAAGGCGGAAGGCCAGCGCGGAGUCACGUCCUCUCCGCCCAGACCCCGCGUGUCCGGAACCCCGCGGCAGGCGGCAGCCUGACGUUGGCAGCUGCUCUCUAUUCUGGGAAGUGCCGAGGGCUUCCCGGGCGGCGGCGGCGAAAGCCAGGUGGCGGGUGGGGAAACGAACGCCGAGGGGCCAGGGACUGCGGCGAGGCCGGAGCGCUGGGGUCAGCGGCCGGGGGACGGAUGGUCGCCGCCCGGCUGCGCGGCCGGUUCAGCUCCAAAGCCAGGGUGGUGGGAGGCGAGGGUGGCUGGAAGCGGAGGAGCGCAGGCUGUGUAGGAGUUCCCCGAGCACUGGGAAGGGCCCGGAGAGGAAAGAGGUCCUUCCAAGCGGAGGAAACAACGUGACCGACGGAAGAGGCAGGGUUGGGAUGAGAGCAGGCUGGAGCCGAGGGGCUCGGGCAGGAGCCAGACAGGCUAGAGCGGGCUGCAAGUUCCGGGGCCCGGCUGGAAGCCUGAUGGUUAGAGCCUGGUCCCAGCCAGGAAAUGAAAUUCUACAGGAGGGAGAAGAAUGGCGGGAUUCAGAGGUGAGGAGGCAGAAGAAGAUUCCAAGCUCUGGACCUCUGGGGGCCACUGGGAGAGUUGAAGGAAUUCAUGAACUUUUAAAAUACUUUAUUCUACAGAAGGAGAUCUUCUUAACUAAUUAGAAAAAGAAUCGGAUUUUACUGCUCCAGGAGUUGAGAAUGAACUUGGUUACUAAUCCCCAAAGUAAUAGAUAAACUAGGUGUGGAUGCUUCUUUACUAAAUUGUAUCAGAGAAUCACAAAUGAACAUGACUUGUGCAUGCAUAAACCUCAGCAGACUGAACUAACCAUCUUUAGAUUAUUUACACAUGUGCUCCUAAUUGAUAUGGUCACCUUUAUAUUAUAGGACAGCAUAUUUGCUUAUUAUUCACAGGUACAUGUAAAGGAGAAACGAGAGUGGCAGGAAUAGUUGGCCUCAUUCCUCUCCAACAGGUCAGAAAAACUUGUUGUUGUUGUUGUUGUUGUGUAGCAUUUUAGAUACAUCAAUUAUUUGGUCUUACUGUGAGACGAAAAACACAUUAGACAAUGUACAGAUUCUUGGCAGAGGUGGUGUAUCAGUCCAUUUUCAUACUGCUCUGAAGAAAUGCCCAAGACUGGGUAAUUUAUAAAGAAAAAGAGGCUUAAUGGACUCACAGUUCCACACGGCCCAGGAGGCCUCCUCAUAGCGGAAGGUGAAGGAGGAGCAAAGGCACAUCUUACAUGGGGGCAGGCAAGAGCACGUGUGCAGGGGAACUGCCCUUUAUAAAACCAUCAGAUUUCGUGAUACUUAUUCACUAUUGCAAGAACAGCAUGGGAAAAACCCACCCCCAUGAUUCAGUUACCUCCCACCGGGUCCCGCCCAUGACAUGUGGGAAUUAUGGGAGUUACGUUUCAAAAUGAGAUUUGCGUGAGGACACAGCCGAACCCUAUCAGGUGGCUUCUGGUGAACUCUUCUUACCCUGCUUCACCAAGUCACUUUGAAAUUUUUUUUUUCAGAGAAAUAAUUGCUCUUUGCUGCAGUUGUCAGCUGUCCUGCUGGAAUUUUGGAAACAGCAGGGCUGCAGAAGGAGGGCUUGAACUGUAAGUGUGAUGGAGGGCAUGCUUCCACUACACCCCUGGUUUGCAGCAUCUACAGUGCCUUAUCUUAGAAUGCAGAGUUAUUUUUCACAUGAUAGAGAAGGGGUUGGGGACCUUUGAAGACAAUAGGGGACAGCCUCCAAGUGCAAAGUCAGAAAUUCAGAGGCCUUGCUCCUGCCAGGCAAAACUUAUUUUCUACCUGUUUUCUCUCGAGUUCCCCUACUUAUCCCUCCCCCAGAGAGCUGAAACAGAGACCAUCUUGAUUGAUCUAGACUUGGUUUACACCUGAUAAGCCAAGAUUUUAUGAAUGUUUAACAGAGGUCAGAAAUUUGGAGAAAAUCUUAUAGUAGGCAUAUUACCUUUUAAAGCAUGAAUUAACUAAUGUUUUCCUCAAGAGUUUCAAAGGCAGUACAGAUCCUCAUUGUUUCCCAGCGAUUCUUUUGGGCAAGACAGUGAUAAGGUGGCUGGGACAAGCUUUCUUAAUCCUUCUUUUCAGGUAAGAAAACUGAAGCUCAGGAAAGUAUAAUUUUUUCUUAAUCACAUGGAGGGCCUGAAACACACCUGGAAAAAACAUUUUAGUCUAACAACAAAGAGUUCAUAAGUGUUAAGUCUUUUUCUUUUCUUUUUUUUUUUUUUUUUUUAAAAAAAGUCUUACUGUCACCCAGGCUGGAGUGUGGUGGGGUGAUCAUGGCUCACUGCAAUCUCAAACUUCCAGACUCAAGCAGUCCUCCCACCUCAGUCUCCCGAGUAGCUGGGACUACAGAUGCAUGCCACCAUGCCCAGCUAAAAUUUUUUUUAAGAGAUGGGAUCUCACUGUGUUGCCCAGGCUGGUCUCAAACUCUUGAGCUCAAGCGAUCCUUUUGAACCUACAAAGCUAUAGCGGAAUGUUUUUUUGCUCAACUGAUAAUGUAGUCAGUAUAACCAGUGUCUCUAGAUAAUGUGAGAAGUUGAAAGAGAAAGUGAAGCCUAUUUGCUGGAAGGCUGAGGCAAAGCCAACAUUUGGAGGUAAUUCUUAGAAGGUCCUGCACCUGCCUGUGCAUCAGGAAUGAUUUGGUAGUAGGGUAAUGUCCCUUAGACCAGUAGUCCCCAACCAUUUUGGCACCAGGGACCGGUUUCAUGGAAGACUAUUUUUCCACAGACAGGUUGGGGGGUGGUUUCAGGAUGAAACUUCUUCACCUCAAAUCAUCAGGCAUUAGUUAGAUUCUCAUAGGGAGCAUGCAACCUAUCCUCACAUGCGCAGUUCAAAAUAAGGUUCAAGUUCCGAUGAGAAUCUGAUGCCACCGCUGAUCUGACAGGAGGUGGAGCUCAGGCAGUAAUGCUUGCCUGCUCCUCACCUCCUGCUGUGUAGCCGGGUUCCUAACAGGCCACAGUACCAGUCCAUGGCACCAAGGUUGGGGACCCCUGCCUUAGACACCUUUUCUUGAGUUAGCAUAAGAUAAUUGCCUUAUGCCAGUUACUUCAUCUAUUUGAGCUUCAGAUUCCUCAUUUGUAAACUAGCCCAAUUGUUUCCUCACUAUAAACUCUAGCCUACCUCCCCCUGCAGUUUCAUAUUAUGCAAAUGCUAGGUCAUUUCAGAAUUCCGUCUUUUUGCACAUUUGUUCUCUUUCCCUGGAAUGCAUUUCUUCCCCUGGUAAACUCCUGUCUUCCCCUGACUUGGCCCCAUGAUACACACAGCACUUCAUACAGAUAAAAAAUAUUUUGUCUAGUGAUAGUUGUACAACUGUGAAUAUAUUAAAAACCAUUGAAGUGUAUUUUAAGUGAGUAAAUUUUACGGUAUGUGAGUUAUAUCUGAAUUUUUAAACAUGGAGGAUGGAGGGAAGCCUUCCCUACUACAUGGUGGGUUUCUGGAGGAAUAAGAUCUUCUCAUUUUCCUGUUAGAAUUUCCUUUGGCCCGUAUGAAACCUGGUCCAUAAUAAAGGCUCGGGUAAUAUUGUUGAAUAAACAAUGACCAUCUGAGGUUUGCUCUAAGGGAUUAAACGAAGAUGUAUGUGAUGGUAUUUAUCUUGCACAAUCCCCUUGUUGAAUUCAUUUAUUCAUGGCACUGUGUAGUGCUAAGCACUGAGGAUACAGAAUAAAUAAACAUCAUCCUGAUCUCAAGGAAUUUAUGGUCAGUGGAGGAGGCAGAUAUAUAAACAGACCAUAGCAUGGCAUUAGAGGUGCCACAGUAGACUUUGUGAGCAUACAAGAUAGAGCAUCCCAUUCAGCCCAGUGUUGGGGAAGGGAACAUCAGGAAAGAAUUGAUUUUGGUUUUGAAGGAUAAUUAGGGAUUUACUAGAAUACAAGACGUAAGAGAGGAAAUACAUCCUAGGCAGAAAGAAUAGCAUAUGCAAAGGCACAGACACACAAAGUAUCUGUUCCACAUUUGAAAUCCAAUCCAAAUGUUAACUCAGAAAUGUUUGAGAACAAGACAGAAGAAAUAAUGCAAAACAAAAAAGAUUCUCAGAAUCAAAGACAUGGAUCUCCAGAUCAAAGAGUUUGCAGAAGGCCCAGCAAAAUGAAUGAUAGAAGAUCUAAAAAUCACAUCAUCAUGAAAUUCUGAACUCAAAUUAUAAAAGCAUCUGGACAAAAUAGGUCGCAUACAAAGGAGUUGGAACAGGAAUGAGAAUGUAUUUUCCUAAAACAGGAAACUAGGGAGUCAAUAGAGCAAUGCCUUUAAAACUGAGUGGAAAUUAUCUUCAAUCUAGAAUUCUAAACCUAGUGAGACCAUCAGUUUAAAAAGAUAUGCAAGAAUUCAGACAUGCCCGUUUUGGGGAAGCUACUGGGAGAUAAGUGCCAGCAAAACCAUGGAAGAAGAUUACAUGGGAUUUGGGAAAUAAGGAAUCCAACAUGGUAGACUCUGAAUUUAAAAAUCCAGAAUGCCUGCAAUGCAGCCAUCCCACGAGCAACCAGCACAGAUUGGAACAAGAGGAUAGAUGGCUCAGAAUGAGGUCUUCAAGGAACAACAACAAAAUGGAACUCAUUUCUGUGAGUGCAUAAUGAUUAUUUCUGAUAGGAUAGCAGACAUGUUGGAGCAUUUGGAAAAAAUUAAUCACAAGUAUAUGGAAAGCCAGACAAGUGGGAAAACAAGGAAAUCAUUAACUGAAGGAAAAAUACGUGGUCAUACAAGAAAGGAGCAAUGGUCAUAGGCUCAACAGUGAAAAUGUUUGUACAGUCAUAGUGUAAACACUGAUGUAUUAUCCAAGCUGCAUAAAGAGAUCUUAUAAAUCAAUUAGAAAAAGACAACCAUUGGAAAAACGAGCAAAGUGUAUGAAUGGGCUAAUUCACAGAAGAUGAAACUCAAGCUCAACUCAUGAGUAAUUGGGGAAAUUAAAACUAUUCACUGGCUGGGCAUGGUGGCUCAUGCCUGUAAUUCCAGCACUUUGGGAGCCUGAAGCAGGAGGGACUGCUCGAGGCCAGGAGUUCAAGACCAACCUGGUCAAUGAAGUAAGACCCAGUCUCUACAAAAAAAAAAAAAAUUAAAAAUUAGCAGAGUGUGGUAGUACAUACCUGUAGUCCUAGCCAUUCAGGAGGCUGAGGCAAGAGGAUUCCUUGAGUCCAAAAGGUUCAGGCUACAGUGAGCUAUGAUCAUGCCACUGCACUCCAGUUUAGGUGACAGAGCGAUACCCUGUCAUUUAUACAUACAUAUGUACAUAAAAUCAAAUUGACAAAAAUCUUAAAAUUCUGAUGGUUCAAGGGUCUUAGUGAGGGUAUGGAGCAUCAGAAACAGUCAUCCACUGCUGGCAAGAGUAUACACAGGUACAAUUACUCUGAAGAGUAAUUUGUCAGUAUCUAGCAAAGCUGAAGAUACAGGCCCUGAGUACGGCCUGGCAGUCUUUCUCCAAGAUGGUUAUUUCUUAUCUCACUUUCAGCUUCUAAUUGAUCAUCUCCACCCAGGGUCUCAGCUGAUAACCCUGCUUUCUAUUUCACUGAGAGACUAGAAGCAAGCAGAAAAGCACUUCAAAUAUUUGCCCACAUACUUGCAUCUGUGCCCAUAGACUCCAUAUUUCUUAAAUUAUAAUGGAUGACUAUGCAUGAUUUAGAAGAGAGGUAAAAACUGAUGACUCCAGAGAAAAUAAACAUCCACACCCUUUGUGGAAGAAACAUAUAUGACCAUUCAUUGUAGCACUGUGAUGGUGAAAAAUUUAAAUGUCCAUCAACAAUAAAACUGGUACAUUGUGGCAUAGCUAUAAAUUGACUACUAUAUAUUGAGUCAAAGGGGACACAUGUUUAUUCAUUUUCUCUGGAAUCAUUACUGUUUCCUCACUUCUGGAUGAAAUAAAAUAGGCAACGUGUCAACAUUAACCACCUAAACAAAAACAAACAUAUGCUAAGUGAAAAGUUAUAGAAGGAUGUUGGUUAUACGAAGUUUUCUUUCUUUCUUCCCUGCCCCCCAGACCCACCGGAGACAGGGUCUUGCUUUGUCACCCAGGCUGCAGGACAAUGGCAUGAUCUCAGCUCACUGCCACCCCUGCCUUCCAGGCUGAAAGAUUCCUCCCACCUCAGCCUACUGAGUAACUGGGACUACAGGUGUUCACCACCACAAUGGCUAAUUUUUUGUACUUUUGCAAGAGAUGGGAGUUUCGCCAUGUUCCCUAUGAUUGGUCUCGAAUGCCUGAGCCCAAGCUGUCCAUCCUCGUUGGCCUCCCGAAGUGCUGGGAUUAUAGGUGUGAGCCACUACAGCUGAUCUCUACAAAGUUUGAAAACAUGCAAAGCAAUUCUGUUGUUGAUAUGGACACAUUUGUGUGGCAUAAUUGUACAAAAACAUGCAUGGGAACAGCAAACUCUAAAUUGGGGAUAAUGAUUACCUUUAAGGAGGGAGAAAAGGGAAUAGGGGGAGGUGGAAGGGCACAGAUAGAAUUUCUGUUUUUUUAAUUUAAUUUUUUUUUUUACACGGAGUUUCACUCUUGUUGCCCAGGCUGGAGUGCAAUGGCGCAAUCUUGGCUCACCACAACCUCUGCCUCCUGGAUUCAAGUGAUUCUCCUGCCUCAGCCUCCCGAGUAACUGGGAUUGCAGGCAUGCACUACCAUGCCCGGCUAAUUUUUAUAUUUUUAGUAGAGAGGGAGUUUCUCCAUGUUGGCCAGACUGGUCUCGAACUCCCGACCUCAGGUGAUCUGCCAGUCUCAGCCUCCCAAAGUGAUGGGAUUACAGGCGUGAGCCACCAAGCCCUGCCAAUUUUUGUUUUUUAAAAGUAGGUGGCAGGUACAUGGAUGUUUAGUUACAUUUUUAUUACUUCGAGACAGAGGUUAAUUCUUGUCAGAUGUGCAUUAUAAUCACCAAGAAAACCUUCAAAAAUACAGAUUCCCAAGACCUACCAUGAGAACUCCUGAAUCAGAAUUUUCAGGGUAGAAGCCCACGAAUCUAUUUUUCUUUUGUUUUGUUUUACAGUACGUUCUUAAUAUGCUUACCCAGAAUCUACAUUUAAAAAAAAAGUAUAUGUGUGUGUAUAUAUACACAAUAAUAUUACAAGAAGUCCCAUAUACUCUUUACCCAGAUUCCCCAAAUGUUAACAUUUGUUUUAUCUUUUAUGUUUCUCUGAAUCAUAUGCCUAAAUACCUCAGUUUGUAUCUGCUUAAAAAAAAAAUUAGGCCGGGCACGGUGGCUCACGUCUGUAAUCCCAGCACUUUGGGAGGCUGAGGCGGGUGGAUCACCUGAGGUCAGGAGUUCGAGACCAGCCUGGCCAACAUGGUGAAACCCCGUCUCUGCUAAUAAUACAAAAAUUAGCAGGGUGUGGUGGCGCGUGCCUGUAAUCCCAGCUACUCGGGAGGCUGAAGCAGGAGAAUCACUUGAACCCGGGAAGCAGAGGUUGCAGUGAGCCAAGAUCACGCCAUUGCACUCCUGCCUGGACACAAGAGGGAAACUAUGUCUCAAAAAAAAAAAAAAAAAGAAAGAAAGAAAAGUCUAUUCCCAGUACAAUGAUAAAAACCAGUAAAUAAACAUUGAUACUGUAAUCUGCAGACUCUUCAAAUUUCAAAUUUUAUGAAUUGUGUCAAUAUUAUUGCAAAAGAAAAUCCCAGGCCAGGCCGCUUCUGUUUUUUCUACUUUAUUUCCCACCACCACCGCCCCCCCCCCAACCCGCCGCCAUCCUAGUUGUUUUUCUUUUUGUUGUUAAGUAAAAUAUUAACAAGAUUGCAAAACACAGAAUGUAUAGUCAGAGGAAUUCCAUCCCCUCCCCAUUCCUUCUAUUCUGUCCAGUUCAUUUCCACCCAAUCCCUGAGGGUAAACAAUUGUAUUAACUUCUGGUUUCUCUUUCCUGUGUUUCUUUUUUUCUUUUUCUUUUUUUUUUUUUUUGAGACGGAGUCUCGGUCUGUCGGCCGGACUGGAGCACAGUGGCGCGAUCUCGGCUCACUACAAGCUCCGCAUCCCGGGUUCACACCAUUCUCCUGCCUCAGCCUCCCGAGUAGCUGGGACCACAGGCACCCGCUACCACACCCGGCUCAUUUUUUUUGUAUUUUUAGCAGAGACGGGGUUUCACCGACUUAGCCAGGAUGGUCUCGAUGUCCUGACCUCGUGAUCCGCCCACCUCGGCCUCCCAAAGUGCUGGGAUUACAGGCAUGAGCCACUGCACCCGGCCUUUCCUGUUUCUUUUUACACAAAUGAACAUAUACAUGCAUAUUUCCUCCUUUCCUACAAAAAUGGUAGCAUAUUGCCAAUACUCUUUUCCACUUUGUUUUCUUCCUUUAACAAGAGAUCUUGUAUCAGUUCAUAGAAAUCUUUCUCCUUUUUUAAACAGCUGCAUAAUACUCAUAUGCCAUAUAUAUGGGCAUGUCAGUGACUUCCAAUAUAUUGUAAUUUUACAAAAAUGAUGCUAUGAAUAACCUAGUAUGUAUGUAUUGUUGGAGGUUUAUCUUCAGGGUAAAUUCCUAGGAGUAAGGUUGCUAGGUCAAAAAAUAAUACAUGUGCACUGUGCGUGUGUAUGUGUGUUAAAUAUUUAUUGUGAAAUUCUCCAUAGAGAUUAUACCAGCUUGCAUUCCACCAGCACUGUAUGAGUGCCUGUUUCCCAACAGCCUGCCAACAAACUCUGUGAUUACGCUUUUUACUUUUUGCCAAUCUGAUAAGUGAGAAAUUGUAUCUCAGUGUAGUUUUAAUUUGUAAUUCUCUCAUUAUGAGUGAAAACGAACUUUUUUUUCAUGUGUUUAAAGAUCAUCUUUUUUGUUGUUGUUGGGGAUACAUUCUCUGUUCAUGUCUUUUGCCCAUUCUUCUAUUGAAGAGUUUUGAUCUAUUUUUCUUCUCAACUUUUAUGGUUAUUUAAAUAUUAUGGAUGUAAGGUUUUUAUCUGAGAUACGUGUUACAAAUAUUUUCUCCCAGGUUUUAAUUGUCUUUUUACAUUGUUCAUGGUGUUUCUUCCUAUGCAAAAGGUUUUACUUUUAUGUAGUCAAGUUUAUCAAUCUUUUAUUUCAUUUUAUUUAAUUUUGAGUUAUAGUUAGAAUGCUUUCCCCUACCCCAGAUUAAAGAGAAAUUUACUCAUUUUAAAAAUAGUAUGUGUAUGGUGAUAGAUAGAUACAUAAAUAGAUAGGUAGGUAGGUAGGUAGAUCGAUCGAUUCUUUUUUUUUUUUUUUGAUCGAUUCUUGAUCCACUUGGAAUUUGUUCUUGUCGAUGGUAUGAGGUAUGGAUCUCCUUUUACCUUUUUCUUCUAAGUACCUAAUUGUUCCAGUACCAUUUAUUUUAAAAAUCCUUUUGGCCCAGGUGUUUUGAGACACCAUCUUUAUUACAUACUAAAGUUCCAUAUGUACUUGGUCCUACUUCUGGACUUUCUUUUCUACUGGUCUAUCCAUAUUACCAUACUCUACUGUUGUAAAGGCUUUAUGGUAUGUUUUCAUGUCUGGUAGGCCAAGUCCCCCUUGUGACUUUUUUCUUUUCUUAGUAUUUUCCUGGCUAUUCUUGUAUGUUUGCCUUUCUGUAUGAAGUUUAGUAUCAGUUUCUUAAGCUCCAUAAAAAGGUUGUUGGUGCAGCCAUAAAAAAGAAUGAGAUCAUGUCCUUUGCAGGGACAUGAAUGGAGAUGGAGGCCAUUAUCCUUAGCAAACUAAAUCAGGAACAGAAAACCAAAUACCACAUGUUCUCACUUAUAAGUGGGAGCAAAAUGAUGGCAACACUUGUACACAAGAUGAGAACAACAGGCUGGGCGCCGUGGCUCACACCUGUAAUCCCAGCACUUUGGGAGUCUGAGGCAGGUGAAUCACUUGAAGCCAAGGAGUUUGAGACCAGCCUGGCCAACAUGAGGAAACCCUGUCUCUACUAAAAAUACAAAAAACCAGCCAGGCAUGGUGGCGCACACCUGUAAUCCCAGCUACGCAGGAGGCUGAGGCAUGAGAAUCCCUUGAACCCAGGAGGCAGAGGUUGCAGUGAGCUGAGAUCGCGCCACUGCACACCAGCCUGGGUGACAGACUCUGGUUUCCAAAAAAAAGAAGAAGAAGGGAAAAACACACACUGGGGCCUUUUGGAGGGUGGAAGGAGGGAGAGGAUCAGGAAAAAUAAAUAACUAGUGAGUACUAGCCUUAAUACCUCAUGAAAUAAUCUGUAUAAACAAACCCCAUGACACAAGUUUAUCUAUAUAAUAAACCUGCACUUGUACCCUUG
Molecule: long non-coding RNA, 10981 nt
Filed under: Homo sapiens (human)
Lineage: Eukaryota; Metazoa; Chordata; Mammalia; Primates; Hominidae
Description: non-protein coding lnc-SENP2-2:2
Source: RNAcentral